GGCUCCGACGAAUCCAACUCUGAUCGGGUUAUUGGAUUUGGUUCUACCCGAUAGCCAGCAAGCUAAUUAUUUUCUAAUUAAUUAAUCCAGUCUGUUUGUUACGUGGAUGUUCCAACAACCAACACCUAUCGCCAUGAAUCCAGCAAUUUGGUUGGGCUUGCUGCCUACCCUUCGCUCUAUAUAAGGCCAGGCACUAGAGGGGAGGGUGCGAGGGCGGCCAGGCGGAGUGCAGAGGCGCAGAGCAGAAGAUUGCAUGGACGCAGAUUGAGCAGCUCCUCUUAAUCUAUCAGCACGAGUACUGCUUUUGCUACAGGAUGCAACUUUCUAUCUGCUCCAAUACCGAAAAAGAUGAAGAUGAAUUUUAUGAACGCAAGGAGUUAGGCCCGGAGUAUAUAGUAUGGAGUUUACAGAAUGUUGCAUCAACAACAACACAAGGAUGGAGUAUAUAGAAUGUUGUAUGAACAACAGAAGUAUGAAGUAUGUAGUACCAUGCAUUUAGUAUGAAGAAUAUAAUCAGCAAAAAAAAAAAGUAUGAAGAAUGUAGAAGGUAGUAUGGAGUAUAUUCACAAGCAGUAUAUAGAAGGAAGUAUGUAGUAUAUAGAAGGUACUGUAGGACAUAUAUUAGAAUGUACUCAUGUAUGGAGAGUAUAUAUAAACAAAGAAGUAGUAGUAUGGAGUAUAUAUCCAAGAAAAGUAGUAAAUAGUAUAUAGUACAUCAAUACAAAAUAAUUUUCCUAUGCA
Long non-coding RNA from Brachypodium distachyon (stiff brome), 741 nucleotides. RefSeq lists it as uncharacterized. Lineage: Eukaryota; Viridiplantae; Streptophyta; Magnoliopsida; Poales; Poaceae. The transcript has 2 exons. The record is from RefSeq and is a predicted model, not a curated record.